This 459-nucleotide ribosomal RNA is filed under the name uncultured bacterium. RNAcentral's name for it is "partial 16S ribosomal RNA". It matches the Rfam family "Bacterial small subunit ribosomal RNA", at positions 338 to 795 of the family's 1533-position model. The record is from RNAcentral.
CCUACGGGUGGCAGCAGUGAGGAAUAUUGGUCAAUGGCCGCAGGGCUGAACCAGCCAAGCCGCGUGAGGGAUGACGGUCUUAUGGAUUGUAAACCCUUUCUGUCAGGGAGCAAAGGGCGCCACGUGUGGCGUUUUGCGUGUACCUGAAGAAAAAGCAUCGGCAAACUUCGUGCCGUCAGCCGCGGUAAUACGGUGGAUGCGAGCGUUAUCCGGAUUUAUUGGGGUAAGCGGGAACGCAGGCGUAAUGUCAAGUCAGCGGAAAAAUUUCGGGGCUCAACCCCGUCGUGCCGUUGAAACUGGCGUGCUUGAGUGAGCGAGAGGUAUGCGGAAUGCGUGGUGUAGCGGUGAAAUGCGUAGAUAUCACGCAGAACACCGAUUGCGAAGGCAGCAUACCGGCGCUCAACUGACGCUCAUGCGCGAAAGCGUGGGUAGCGAACAGGAUUAGAUACCCCUGUAGUC